UAUUGUUAUUUUGGCAGAUUAGUGCAUUAAAUUUAGAAUUUAAUUAUGUAAAUAUUUACAAAUAAUAC
Molecule: transfer RNA, 68 nt
Filed under: Ochthebius metallescens
Lineage: Eukaryota; Metazoa; Arthropoda; Insecta; Coleoptera; Hydraenidae
Description: transfer RNA-Leu
Source: RNAcentral